GCAGUUGUGGCGGAAUUGGUAUACGCGCAUGAUUCAGGUUCAUGUCUGUUUUCGCAGGUGUGGGUUCGAGUCCCAUCAACUGCA
This 84-nucleotide transfer RNA is filed under the name Eubacterium sp. RNAcentral describes it as "tRNA-Leu". It matches the Rfam family "tRNA". From Rfam's summary of the family: Transfer RNA (tRNA) molecules are approximately 80 nucleotides in length. Their secondary structure includes four short double-helical elements and three loops (D, anti-codon, and T loops). The record is from RNAcentral. Lineage: Bacteria; Bacillati; Bacillota; Clostridia; Eubacteriales; Eubacteriaceae. RNAcentral also lists the same sequence under 2 other names.